RNAcentral lists this long non-coding RNA (580 nucleotides) under Homo sapiens (human). RNAcentral's name for it is "non-protein coding lnc-NANOS1-7:1". Lineage: Eukaryota; Metazoa; Chordata; Mammalia; Primates; Hominidae. The record is from RNAcentral.
AUAGAAACUGGCCUCAAGAAGUUUGUAGUCUGAGACAUAAUAAUAUUUAAACGCCCGGCUAAUUUUUUGUAUUUUUAGUAGAGAUGGGGUUUCACCGUGUUAGCCAGGAUGGUCUCGAUCUCCUGACCUCGUGAUCCACCCGCCUCGGCCUCCCAAAGUGCUGGGAUUACAGGCAUAAGCCACCGCGCCCAGCCCUUAUUUUUUAAUGGUCACUCUAGGGAUUACAGUACUCAUCCUUUCUACAGAUUACUUAAAGUUAACAUUUUAAUAAUUUGUGGGAAAUGUAGAAACAUUGGAACUGCAUGGGUCCUUUCAAAGCUCUUGGCCCGCUCUUAAUGUUGUCAUACACACUGCAUCUACACACAUUGUAAAUUGUUUUCAAAAGUGGCUGUACCAUUACACAUUUUCAUCAGUAAUGUAUGAAAAUUCCUGUUGCUCCCCAUUCUUCGGUAUGGACAUAAAAAAUAAGUGGGUUCAAAUAAAUGUGUAGUGGUAUCUCACUGUGUAUCAAUUUUAAUUUAUCUAAUAACUUAUGAUGUCUCUGUAUUGUCUUUUGACUUAACAGUGUGUUUCAAAGAGC